CAACAGGACUCAAGCAUUUCGC
RNAcentral lists this microRNA (22 nucleotides) under Medicago truncatula (barrel medic). RNAcentral describes it as "mtr-miR2592ah". Lineage: Eukaryota; Viridiplantae; Streptophyta; Magnoliopsida; Fabales; Fabaceae. The record is from miRBase by way of RNAcentral.